This 254-nucleotide ribosomal RNA is filed under the name uncultured bacterium. RNAcentral describes it as "partial 16S ribosomal RNA". It matches the Rfam family "Bacterial small subunit ribosomal RNA", at positions 524 to 776 of the family's 1533-position model. The record is from RNAcentral.
UACGGGGGGAGCAAGCGUUGUUCGGAUUUACUGGGCGUAAAGGGCGCGUAGGCGGCCUCCGCAAGUCAAUUGUGAAAUCUCCGGGCUUAACUCGGAAAGGUCAACUGAUACUGCGGGGCUAGAGUGCGGAAGGGGCAACUGGAAUUCUUGGUGUAGCGGUGAAAUGCGUAGAUAUCAAGAGGAACACCUGCGGCGAAGGCGGGUUGCUGGGCCGACACUGACGCUGAGGCGCGGAAGCUAGGGGAGCGAACGGG